Macaca mulatta (Rhesus monkey) is the source of this 2226-nucleotide non-coding RNA. NCBI's taxonomy places the organism in Eukaryota, Metazoa, Chordata, Mammalia, Primates, Cercopithecidae. The record is from RefSeq and is a predicted model, not a curated record.
UUGCCCCACCUUUUUCCUGUGUCUGGUGGAGUUUCCUAAGUAGCCAUUUUAUUCUGCUGACUCACCCUCUGACUCCUGGCCUUAUUCCAUCCUGGCUCAGGGUCCAUGGUGUAGUCAUAGCACCUAAUGAGGUAGCGUUUGUUUUAGUGAGAUCAGGAUGACUCUUCAUUCAAAAGCUUUUGGGCCAGUGCGUGCGUGAAUGGCAUUGGAAUGGGCAGCAGUUUCACUGUAGGGAGGUGGGUAUGAUGCCUGCAGCUUCCUCAGGCUGGGUGGAAGUUGUUGACCCUUGGUUGAUGGUAUUAAAAUGUGACUCACCAAUCUCCUUCAUCAUCCCAGGCCCAAGAGGUAGAACUGGAACCUGGAAUCAGGGACAAGACUGAGAACUCUCCUUCCACUGGCUGUGGUGGGAGUAUAAUUCACAGAUAACUGUCCUGAUCCAUCACCCAUGAAAUGUUCACAGAUAUAACCAAAUACAGGAGACAUUUGUAUGAAAUAAAGUAUCAUGAGGCUGGGAGCCAGAGAGCUUUGUUUUCCACUCACUGUGUUCAUGUCACCUUGCUGGUUUGUGAUUUCAUCUGUAAAAUGAGAGGUUUGGAGCAGAAGACUUGGCAGGCUCCUCAGGCAUGACUGUUCUAGGGUUUGAAUCUGGCAAGGUAGAUGGUGUCGGCAAACUGUCACCCUACAGCCACUUCAGGAGAACUUUCCAAAUCACAGUUACUUCUGUGGAAAUGGCAGGUUUGCUAUGAAAGGAAUUUUUGCCCUGAGGGUCAGUGUUGACAUCUACUUUCUAAACCAUUUCUAGUUAUGAGAGCCCCUAGAUCCAUGUUACUUGAGAGCAGAUUAUAAAGUAUUAAUUGACUGGGAUCUAAGACUUCCAUAUACCCUAUUUUGAAAUAUUGGAUACUGGCCACAAUCUGCUUGUGUAACAAAUAUCUAUUGAGCCUCUGUGGUGUACACGCCAGCACUGUGAUGCAAUAAGCAGUGAAGGGUUGCUCAGAGUCAGCCUUCAGUGGUAAUGGACUCAAGAUAAAUGAGUUCAGCCCAAGGUAGUAAGUGGUCCACCACAGGAGGAGGUUACGGGUGCUACAGGGCUAACUUCCUGGUUAUUAUGGAGUGAACAGAGCAUGCAGCACUGGGAUACAGCAUGUCCCGAGCUGGGGCGCUGGGUGAGGAUUGGUUGGCAGAGGAGACUGGAGAAGUAGCAGGUUAACAAAGGGCCUUGUUCAUCAUAGCAAAUGUCAAGCCCAUGCCCUACCAUGCAGUAGAUGAUUCUUCAUCCAGGACAUCCUGAUCAACCUCAAGUGCAGAGGACUUCACCUUUAGGAUCUGUUCACCUUCUGUUUCUGACACAUCCAGUGAUUCUUCAGGUUCUACAGACAAUGUUCUAAAAGCUAUCAAAUGGACCCGGUGGAUCAUCCAAACAAAGAAAUUCUCUCACUGCAAGGCUUUUCAAAGGAAAAAAAAAUUAUCUGAAGUACAAGUAAGUUUGCAGAAGACAGCAAAAAGCAAAAGUUACUUUGAAGCAAUACAGUGUUUUAAACAAGUUGGUUAUGUGCUUUCAUACAAGUAACUAAAUAUAAAUAUAAAACUAUAGAAGAUGCAAAGAUCUUAAGGUGUUUUCUAAGAUCUUAGAACAUAAAUAUCACAAAUUUAUUGUUACAUACAAACUAUUGGACAUAAAACAUACUUCACAAUAAUGGUUCAAGAGACCAACAUAGUGAAUAGCCUCUUUAUGAUUUUUCAAAGAAAUACCAGUCUGAAGUAGUCUAACAGUCAUUAUCCUUUUAUGAAUAAAUGCAAUUUCUAAUUUAUACCUCACUUGUUUUUGUUUGAGUAGAUGCUUCUAAAGUGACUGAAAAGCAUUUAUUCUUAAACAAGUUAAAGACUGACCUUGCUAUCAUGUUUAUUAUAUUAAUUUCCUUAUUUUCCCCAGAUAGUUCGAGAGAAAAAAUUCUAACCAUCCUAUCUCUAAAUGACCACAAAUUUUAAAAUUAUUAUUAAAAAAUGAUAUUGUUAUGCUUAUACUUUGCUAUUAUCAGAGAAACAGGUUAAGGAGGUAGAUAACCAAACUUCCUUAUAAUAAAAAUGCCUCCCUGCCUUUCUAAAAAGCAAUUCUGGACUGAGAGACAAUUCUAUGUACACAUCAAAAUAUAAAUGUGGAUCCUUAUUUUAGAUUUGCAAAAUAAAAUCUUUACAAAUUUCCUUUCACAAAGGUUUUUUUUUUUU